AUGACGUCAAGUCAGCAUGGCCUUUAUAUCCUGGGCUACACACACGCUACAAUGGGAAGGGACAAUAGGUUGCGAAGCCGCGAGGCGGAGCCAAUCCAGCAAAACUUCCCUCAGUUCAGAUUGCAGGCUGCAACUCGCCUGCAUGAAGUUGGAGUUGCUAGUAACCGCAGGUCAGCAAUACUGCGGUGAAUACGUUCCCGGGUCUU
RNAcentral lists this ribosomal RNA (206 nucleotides) under uncultured Anaerolineaceae bacterium. RNAcentral's name for it is "partial 16S ribosomal RNA". It matches the Rfam family "Bacterial small subunit ribosomal RNA", at positions 1179 to 1382 of the family's 1533-position model. The record is from RNAcentral. Lineage: Bacteria; Bacillati; Chloroflexota; Anaerolineae; Anaerolineales; Anaerolineaceae.